CGGGCAGCCGGGCGGUGAGGAAGGUGAGGUGACGACGCUCCGCCGUUCGGAAAUAUUGGAAACCUUUACCAUGUCAUUGUUUUCCCUUAUCGCAAAGUGCCGAAGCCCGUACUUAUGAAUGGAUCUUGUGAAUGAAACUUUGCAAUUAUCGGAGUUCCGUGUGUAGCCAAGACAGAGAGAAUAAUAAUAAGAAACAUUGUACUAAAAAAAAAAAAAAAAACGUGUAGAUUACCUCCAGCUGAUUACGUCCUUAUAAAUCUGCGGGUUUUCAUCGUCUGUUUCGCGGAUUAAAAAAAAGAAAAAGAAAAGUAAAGAAGAAAAGAAAAAAGACGAAGGGAAAUCAUACAAAAAUAGAUAUAUAAAAAGAAAGAAAUCGAAGCGGUUCGAACAUCCAGGAGCAUUUUUUUCGAACUCUACUGCUAAAGUUUGAAUCCCCUGCUAUAACAAGGUGCUAUCACAAAGUACCUUUUUCUCUCCUAAAAUCGAAGUCGUACCAUGAAGAGGCCUCAGAGGGAGAGCCCCGAGGCGUAAGAGCGAGUCGAAGAGAAGACUCACGCGCCCACGCCUCUCAGAGCACGCCCGCACUCCUCGAGGACGCCCAUCCGGUCUCGGAAGCGGCCGCCCGCGCGAUCUGCCUCCCCCCUCCCCCAC
This is a long non-coding RNA of Penaeus indicus, 651 nucleotides long. RefSeq lists it as uncharacterized. The record is from RefSeq and is a predicted model, not a curated record. NCBI's taxonomy places the organism in Eukaryota, Metazoa, Arthropoda, Malacostraca, Decapoda, Penaeidae. The transcript is spliced from 3 exons.